Molecule: non-coding RNA, 5457 nt
Organism: Nothobranchius furzeri (turquoise killifish)
Lineage: Eukaryota; Metazoa; Chordata; Actinopteri; Cyprinodontiformes; Nothobranchiidae
Source: RefSeq, a predicted model, not a curated record
UGUACAUACAGGUAUACACUUGUGUACAUACAGGUAUACACUUGUGUACAUACAGUUAUACACUUUUGUACAUACAGUUAUACACUUGUGUACAUACAGUUAUACACUUGUGUACAUACAGGUAUACACUUGUGUACAUACAGUAAUACACAUGUGUAUGUACAAGUCUGGUUGUGAUACUUAGUUGACACUGCAUGGAAAAGAAUCUGUUGAUGUGUGUGAGAGGCCAUCCCUCGGUUAUCUCUCCAUCCAUCUUCAGGCAGCAUUACUCCUCUCUCAUCCCUUCAUCUUCAGUCCUUCACUCGUCUAUCAGACCUGAGACCUUCUCAGCUUAGGACCUUCUUUUUGCUGGAUGCUUCAACACAGCUUCUUUUCUGACUCGUUUCUGUUCUCUGACUUUAUGUGUUUCUCCACCAAGAAGGAUUUCACAGUCUUUACUUGUUGUUUAUGGAUCUGAUCGAGGGAAGUUGGUGUUUUACGCCGUUUUGUCUUUGGUUUGUUUUAUGAUGGAUCCAGCAGAACCUGAACCUGGUUUGGUUCUGGUCCCGCUGCAGACCCCAGGAAAAUGCUCCUGACAUGCCGUGGGUCUUCUUCUUUACCCUUUCCACCAGUAUAGGAAACAUUUGAUUGUGUUUGAAGAUCCAGAUUGUGGUCACAUGACUGGACCUUAGACCCAGAUCUAAUAAAAGCAGAAGCCCUUGUGUGUGUGAUGAACACAUUAUCAUAACUCUAACAUUAGAUGAAUGAGUGACUUUCACAGGACUUGAAACAAUUCUCAUGUCAUUGACUCGAUGAUAGUCUUGACCUGGACCCACGGGUCCCGAGGCCGGAUGCUGGACCUCGUUAUCUUGAGGGGUAUGCGUUCUCGAUGCUGAUGCUGAUGGCCUUCAGCCUAGACUUGCUUAAUUCUGAGGUUGACUGGGACUCGCUAGUCCAGGUUGGAGACUUAUUGGUCCUGAGGCUGUAGAACUUGAUCUUGACCGUUUCUUUCUAGUCCUGGUUCUGGAUUUGGCGAUGGUGAGAAUGGAUUCAGAGCUGAUGGUCUUGCUGUAACAGUCGGUUUUACGUCUGGACCUGUAGACGUAUGAGCCUUUCGGCUCCAGACCCGUGUCGCCAUGAUGUUUCCGGUCUUGGUGGAGGGUUUAUUUUGUUUAAGUUUUGUUUUGAUCAGUUUUUCUUCCAUCGAGUUAAACGCUGCUCAUGUUGCUGUUCUCCAGUGUUCUUUGCUCUCUCUGUGUCCGUCCAUCCACGUCACCUUUCAGUAGCUCACCUCCAUCCGUUGUCUGGUUUCUCGUCACCUGGACUCUGACGGAGGUCGGAGUCGUGCAGACACAUCUCAGCUGCUUCUGCUUCAGCUGUCAGACCGGCUGUCACAUCAGCUGAGAAGCUCAACUAGAAGAGGGGUGUGAGGGUUAGAAAAGACAGAAGCUCACCGCCGCUCCACCUUAAGGGGAAGUCUGUAGUUUUCCUGCAGGUCUCCUAACAGCAGGGGGCGCUGUCGCACAAACACAUUCUACCUGCGAUGUUUUAGACACGACUGUCACAAACAGUGUUGGGAACGUUACUUUAAAAAAGUAAUUAAUUAUAGUUACUGAUUACUUUGUCAAAAAAGCAACUCAGUUACUAACUGAGUUACGAGAUUAUAAAAGUAACUAAUUACCAAGAAAAAUAACUACUUAGUUACUUUUUUCAUUAAAAAAUGCUAGAAAAUGGGUUCCCCUCUUAAUUAAACUUACUUAAUUUAUUAUAAGUGACUACAGUAGUGAAAUAUAAAUGACUAAUGACUGGAACGUAAUAAAAUGUCCAAAUGUUUUUUAUAAACCUGAAUAAUUUAAAUAAAUAAGCACUUAACAGGAGGAACUACUAACCCUAACAUUACACUUCUCUAGACUAUUAAAAGGUCACUGUGUGAUAUUUAACAAGACCCCAAUCAGUUAAAAUUUAAAAUUGCAAAUAGAAACACUUGUAAAGGUUCCCGAGCCUUUAGAUAGUCUCUCAGUCUAGUUAAAUUACUGAAAUAAGUGUAAUUUUGUACAGUAUUCUAAUUUUUCCAGCUUCACAUAAUUAUUAGCAGCAUUUCUGUUGCUGCUAAUCUAGUAAUGGUUAAAUAAAUAAAUAAAAUCCUUUAAAAUGACACUAGAAGAGGCACAAGCCUGAUGGAGGACUUACAUUUACUAACGUGGGUCAGACCCAACCACAGAAGAGCUGAAGCUGGGUGGUAAACACACACAGGUAGUUCUAGUAACACCUGAGCUCCAUGACGUCUGAGACUGAUGCAUCAGUGUUACAGCGGGACUAAAGACGUGAUCAGGAACAGGUUACAGCUGGAUGAUCUAGGAAGGUAGAAGAUCAGGACGUCUGAGCGGUGAACAGGUGAGCGGACCUUCGGGACGUCCCGCUGUCACGCUAAGAAGGGCACGGCUGCAGAUCCACACCUGCAGCCGUAGACUAUUCAUCACGUCUUCCUCGUUCUCCACGGGCCGUGAUGCGCUUGGAUGCAAACAUCUGCCUCUUUAGCUCCUGAUCAGCUGAUGACAGCUUCAACACACGCGCUGCUUAACGCACGCUUUUCCUUGUCAGUAACAGAAACGACGUUUUGAUAAAAGAAGACGGUAAUUAAUUAGUUUACUCAUUACUAAAAGAAAUAUUUUUGUAGUUAUUUUAAACGGUGUUAUUCCCAUCACUGCUCUGGUGGGUCUACAGCAGGCUGAGACCGUGAGAACACUGAGGGUCUCCGCCCACCCGGCCAAUCAUCAUCGUGUUUGUAAGCGCGUUACCGACACCUCUCUCUCCCUGGCUGCAGCUGAAGUGUGGCGGUCAGAAAGCCUCACACUGUUGCUCAACCUUCCACAAGCACAUAGUAACGCUAACGCACCCGUCUCCAGUAACGGUAACGGUAACGGCGUUGCAACAGCGGGAAAGUAAUUAAUUAGAUUAUCCCGUUACCUAAUUAAGAUCGCCGUUAUACUUAAACGCCGUUACUCCCGACACUGGUCACAAAUAACAGAUUUUGUUGGUUCUAGUCUCCUUGAGGCCACCUCCAGGUCCGAGGACCAGCUCGGGUACCACCGCAGGUGCUCUCAGCCUGGUUCUAAGUCUUGAUUGUGGUUCAACGCUAGAACCAUCCGGCGGAGUCAGGAUGUGUGUUGUUGGUCUUCCUGUCUCUGGCUGACGGGACUUCUCCUCACAGGAACGUUAGAAACUGGAAGUGGGAGGAGACACAUGAAUAUUACAGCGCAUUAGUUAAAGUAGGUGAGCAGAGCUGCAUCGGGUCAUAAAUAUCCCAGCAGGUCUGUGAACGGCACACACCAGUUAGAGGGUAAGGAGCUGUUUGCUGAUCCACCGCAACAUAAUGACCACCAGUUCAAAUGGCUAAACGUUUUCUGUCUGGGGAAUCCCAGAAGAUUCCCAGGUUCAGCUUGGUCCGGAAUCUGGACCCCCACAUCCAGCUGAGGUCUCUGGUCCAGGUCUCAGGCUCAGGUCUCUGAUGUAAAGAGAAGAGAAUUGGAUCAGGGACUCUGGACCUAAAUGUAAAAUGUCUCUCUGAUUCUAACUUGGUACAUUUGGCUUUCUCAUGUAGAAGUUAAGCCCGGUUUUUAGAACCAAACGUUCUCCAAGAGCCGGUGGAUCUUGUGGUUCUGUUGACCCGGUUGUCUGCUGGUUUCCUCGCUGCUGGAAACGGUGAGACUUCCUGGUGUGUUGUGAAGCCAUCGCAGAGGCAGAAGACAGUGUGGAGCAGUGAGGAGGAUUGAAGUUUAAUGAGAUGAGCAUUUGGGGCGAACGCUGCUGAGGACUAGCGGGACGCGGCUCCGCCACAGAGCAUCAUCGUCAGAAGAAGCCGCAGAUACUGUGAGGCUUUCGUUUCCCUGCGGAGUCGGGAAUGUUGCAACGAGCCGUCCGCUGACGCCUCCUGGUUCCGACACAUCUCCACCCCCAAGCUGCUAAAUGAGUCUGACGGCUUUCUGAGCUGUCACAGAUCUUCUUUGUUUUGUUGUAAAAAUAAAGCCGCUGCUUUCAUGCCUGCAGAAACACUCCAGGUGUGAAUUUACACCUUAGACUAAAUAUAACUGAAGCGCGUGUCUCACCACACCAGCUCAGAGUCUGAGGAAGCGCGUGUAACUUCUGUAGCUCCAGAGUCUCGUUAGAAACACAAAGCUGAUCUAAUUAGGCAAUUAGACAGACAAGUUGUUAGACAGGCAAUCAGACAGACUGGUAUAUGGACACAGGUAGUCAAUCAGAUAGACAGCCAAACAAUCAGACAGACAGCCAGACAGGUGGCCAGACAGACAGAAAGGAGGUGAGACAGUCAGUCAGACAAACUGGUAGUCAGACAGGUUGUCAGACAAACAGACAGGUAAGUGGCCUGUAUUUGAUAUAGCACCUUCUAGAGUCCUGGAACCCCCCAAGGCGCUUUACAACACAGUCAUUCACACACUGGUCGGGAUGAGCUACGAUGUAGCCACAGCUGCCCUGGGGCGCACUGACAGAGGCGAGGCUGCCGAGCACAGGCGCCACCGGUCCUUCCGACCACCACCAGCAGGCAACGUGGGUUAAGUCUUGCCCAAGGACACAACGGCAGCGAUAGACUGAGCAGGGCUCAAACCUGCAACCUUCCAAUUACGGGGCGAGCACUUACCACCGUAGCCCUCAGGUGGUCAGACAGACAGUCAGAAAAAGCUUACAGACAGACAGGUGGCCAGUCAGGCAGGCAGGUGGGCAGACAAGUGGUCAGACAGACAGGCAGGCAGUCAGAAAAACAUACAGACAGUCAGACAGAUACACAGGCGGUCAGACAGACAGGCGGCCAGUCAUACAGACAGGUGGCUAGACAGGCAGUCAGAAAAACAUACAGACAGACAGGUGGCCAGUCAGGCAAGCAGGUGGGCAGACAAGUGGGCAGACAGACAGACAGUCAGAAAAAACAUACAGACAGUCAGACAGAUACACAGGCGGUCAGACAGACAGGUGGCUAGACAGGCAAGCAGGUGGGCAGACAAGUGGGCAGACAGACAGGUGGCCAGACAGUUAGUCAGAAAAACAUACAGACAGACAGGUGGCCAGUCAUGCAGACAGAUGGUCAGACAGACAGGCGGCCAGUCAUACAGACAGGUGGCUAGACAGGCAGUCAGAAAAACAUACAGACAGACAGGUGGCCAGUCAGGCAAGCAGGUGGGCAGACAAGUGGGCAGACAGACAGACAGUCAGAAAAAACAUACAGACAGUCAGACAGAUACACAGGCGGUCAGACAGACAGGUGGCCAGACAGUUAGUCAGAAAAACAUACAGACAGACAGGUGGCCAGUCAUGCAGACAGAUGGUCAGACAGACAGGCGGCCAGUCAUACAGACAGGUGGCCAGUCAGGCAAGCAGGUGGGCAGACAAGUGGGCAGACAGACAGACAGUCAGAAAAAACAUACAGACAGUCAGACAGAUACACAGGCGGUCAGACAGACAGGU